RNAcentral lists this ribosomal RNA (442 nucleotides) under uncultured bacterium. RNAcentral describes it as "partial 16S ribosomal RNA". It matches the Rfam family "Bacterial small subunit ribosomal RNA", at positions 338 to 795 of the family's 1533-position model. The record is from RNAcentral.
CCUACGGGUGGCAGCAGUGGGGGAUAUUGCACAAUGGGGGAAACCCUGAUGCAGCGACGCCGCGUGGGCGAAGAAGUAUUUCGGUAUGUAAAGCCCUAUCAGCAGGGAAGAAGAAAUGACGGUACCUGAGUAAGAAGCACCGGCUAAAUACGUGCCAGCAGCCGCGGUAAUACGUAUGGUGCAAGCGUUAUCCGGAUUUACUGGGUGGAAAGGGAGCGUAGACGGCAGUGCAAGUCUGGAGUGAAAGGCGGGGGCUCAACCCCCGGACUGCUCUGGAAACUGUACGGCUGGAGUGCAGGAGAGGUAAGUGGAAUUCCUAGUGUAGCGGUGAAAUGCGUAGAUAUUAGGAGGAACACCAGUGGCGAAGGCGGCUUACUGGACUGUAACUGACGUUGAGGCUCGAAAGCGUGGGGAGCAAACAGGAUUAGAUACCCCUGUAGUC